CAAUCGAACCCGGAGAUAGCUGGUUCUCCCCGAAAUAGCUUUAGGGCUAGCGUCGGAAAGAACCUUAGUGAAGGUAGAGCACUGAAUGUGUGAUGGCCCCAUCCCGGGGUACUGAAUACAAUCAAACUGCGAAUGUCAUUAAGGAUGUCCGGCAGUCAGACUGUGAGUGAUAAGGUCCAUGGUCAAGAGGGAAACAGCCCAGACCGCCAGUUAAGGUCCCAAAAUACAGGCUAAGUGGAAAAGGAUGUGGGGAUGCCCAGACAACUAGGAGGUUGGCUCAGAAGCAGCCAUCCUUUAAAGAGUGCGUAACAGCUCACUAGUCGAGUGACCCUGCGCCGAAAAUGUACCGGGGCUAAGCCUGAUACCGAAACUGCGGAUUGUAGGAAACUAUAGUGGUAGGGGAGCGUUGUAUACGAGUAGAAGCCGUACCGUGAGGAGCGGUGGAUUGUAUAGAAGUGAGAAUGCCGGUGUGAGUAGCGAGAUGUAGGUGAGAAUCCUACACACCGAAAGCCCAAGGAUUCCAGGGGAAGGUUCGUCCGCCCUGGGUAAGUCGGGACCUAACGCGAGGCCGAAAGGCGUAGUGGAUGGAAAGCAGGCGAAAGAUUCCUGCACCCGUAUAUGGAGCGAAGGAGUGACGGAGACGGAUAGUGUGACCCUCUUAAUGGAUUGAGGGCGAAGCGAAGCGGCUGGUUACCAGGCAAAUCCGGUAACUGAAAGGCUAGAGCGUGACAGGUAAGCGAAAUCUUCGGAAAGUAGCGAAGCACAUGAUGACGGCUUCCAGGAAAAGCUUCUGGCAAUGCAUAUGCGGCCCGUACCAAAACCGACACAGGUGGGCAGGGAGAGAAUCCCGAGGUGAGCGAGAGAACUGUUGCCAAGGAACUCGGCAAAAUGACUCCGUAAGUUAGCGAGAAGGAGUGCUUAAGCAAUUAAGCCGCAGUGAAGAGGCCCAAGCGACUGUUUAACUAAAACACAGCUCUCUGCGAAGUCGCAAGACGAAGUAUAGGGGGUGACACCUGCCCGGUGCUGGAAGGUUAAGAGGAUCUGUUAAGAGCGAUCUGAAGCAGUGAUCCGAAGCCCCAGUGAACGGCGGCCGUAACUAUAACGGUCCUAAGGUAGCGAAAUUCCUUGUCAGGUAAGUUCUGACCCGCACGAAAGGUGUAACGAUUUGGGCGCUGUCUCGGCAGCAGACUCGGUGAAAUCUUAGUACCUGUGAAAAUGCAGGUUACCCGCAACUAGACGGAAAGACCCCAUGGAGCUUUACUGCAGCCUGAUAUUGAAUUCUGGUCAUACAUGUACAGGAUAGGUGGGAGACAAAGAGACGUGCACGCCAGUGUACGAGGAGUCGACGUUGGGAUACCACUCUUGUGUGACCGGGGUUCUAACCUGGUAUCGAAAACAGGUACGGGGAGAGUGUCAGGUGGGCAGUUUGACUGGGGCGGUCGCCUCCCAAAGAGUAACGGAGGCGCCCAAAGGUACGCUCAGAUUGGAUGGAAACCAAUCGCCGAGUGCAAUUGCAGAAGCGUGCUUGACUGUGAGACUUACAAGUCGAACAGGGACGAAAGUCGGGAAUAGUGAUCCGGCGGUGCCGAAUGGAAGGGCCGUCGCUCAACGGAUAAAAGCUACCCUGGGGAUAACAGGCU
This 1640-nucleotide ribosomal RNA is filed under the name human gut metagenome. Its description in RNAcentral is "bacterial LSU rRNA". It matches the Rfam family "Bacterial large subunit ribosomal RNA", at positions 830 to 2483 of the family's 2925-position model. The record is from RNAcentral.